GAUGAACGCUGGCGGCGUGCCUAAUACAUGCAAGUCGAGCGAACGGACGAGAAGCUUGCUUCUCUGAUGUUAGCGGCGGACGGGUGAGUAACACGUGGAUAACCUACCUAUAAGACUGGGAUAACUUCGGGAAACCGGAGCUAAUACCGGAUAAUAUUUUGAACCGCAUGGUUCAAAAGUGAAAGACGGUCUUGCCGUCACUUAUAGAUGGAUCCGCGCUGCAUUAGCUAGUUGGUAAGGUAACGGCUUACCAAGGCAACGAUGCAUAGCCGACCUGAGAGGGUGAUCGGCCACACUGGAACUGAGACACGGUCCAGACUCCUACGGGAGGCAGCAGUAGGGAAUCUUCCGCAAUGGGCGAAAGCCUGACGGAGCAACGCCGCGUGAGUGAUGAAGGUCUUCGGAUCGUAAAACUCUGUUAUUAGGGAAGAACAUAUGUGUAAGUAACUGUGCACAUCUUGACGGUACCUAAUCAGAAAGCCACGGCUAACUACGUGCCAGCAGCCGCGGUAAUACGUAGGUGGCAAGCGUUAUCCGGAAUUAUUGGGCGUAAAGCGCGCGUAGGCGGUUUUUUAAGUCUGAUGUGAAAGCCCACGGCUCAACCGUGGAGGGUCAUUGGAAACUGGAAAACUUGAGUGCAGAAGAGGAAAGUGGAAUUCCAUGUGUAGCGGUGAAAUGCGCAGAGAUAUGGAGGAACACCAGUGGCGAAGGCGACUUUCUGGUCUAUAACUGACGCUGAUGUGCGAAAGCGUGGGGAUCAAACAGGAUUAGAUACCCUGGUAGUCCACGCCGUAAACGAUGAGUGCUAAGUGUUAGGGGGUUUCCGCCCCUUAGUGCUGCAGCUAACGCAUUAAGCACUCCGCCUGGGGAGUACGACCGCAAGGUUGAAACUCAAAGGAAUUGACGGGGACCCGCACAAGCGGUGGAGCAUGUGGUUUAAUUCGAAGCAACGCGAAGAACCUUACCAAAUCUUGACAUCCUUUGACAACUCUAGAGAUAGAGCCUUCCCCUUCGGGGGACAAAGUGACAGGUGGUGCAUGGUUGUCGUCAGCUCGUGUCGUGAGAUGUUGGGUUAAGUCCCGCAACGAGCGCAACCCUUAAGCUUAGUUGCCAUCAUUAAGUUGGGCACUCUAAGUUGACUGCCGGUGACAAACCGGAGGAAGGUGGGGAUGACGUCAAAUCAUCAUGCCCCUUAUGAUUUGGGCUACACACGUGCUACAAUGGACAAUACAAAGGGCAGCGAAACCGCGAGGUCAAGCAAAUCCCAUAAAGUUGUUCUCAGUUCGGAUUGUAGUCUGCAACUCGACUACAUGAAGCUGGAAUCGCUAGUAAUCGUAGAUCAGCAUGCUACGGUGAAUACGUUCCCGGGUCU
This 1372-nucleotide ribosomal RNA is filed under the name uncultured bacterium. Its description in RNAcentral is "bacterial SSU rRNA". It matches the Rfam family "Bacterial small subunit ribosomal RNA", at positions 28 to 1381 of the family's 1533-position model. The record is from RNAcentral.